Molecule: transfer RNA, 75 nt
Filed under: Acidobacteriota bacterium
Lineage: Bacteria; Pseudomonadati; Acidobacteriota
Description: tRNA-Lys
Rfam family: tRNA
About the family: Transfer RNA (tRNA) molecules are approximately 80 nucleotides in length.
Source: RNAcentral
GGAUCUGUAGCUCGAAGGCAGAGCCGCCGUCUUUUAAGCGGCACGGUGCGGGUUCGAGUCCCGCCAGAUCCACCA